Molecule: ribosomal RNA, 493 nt
Filed under: uncultured bacterium
Lineage: Bacteria
Description: bacterial SSU rRNA
Rfam family: Bacterial small subunit ribosomal RNA
Source: RNAcentral
GGCUCAGAUUGAACGCUGGCGGCAUGCCUUACACAUGCAAGUCGAACGGCAGCACGGGAGCUUGCUCCUGGUGGCGAGUGGCGAACGGGUGAGUAAUACAUCGGAACGUACCCUGAAGUGGGGGAUAACGUAGCGAAAGUUACGCUAAUACCGCAUAUUCUGUGAGCAGGAAAGCAGGGGACCGCAAGGCCUUGCGCUCUUUGAGCGGCCGAUGUCAGAUUAGCUAGUUGGUGAGGUAAAGGCUUACCAAGGCGACGAUCUGUAGCGGGUCUGAGAGGAUGAUCCGCCACACUGGAACUGAGACACGGUCCAGACUCCUACGGGAGGCAGCAGUGGGGAAUUUUGGACAAUGGGCGCAAGCCUGAUCCAGCCAUGCCGCGUGAGUGAAGAAGGCCUUCGGGUUGUAAAGCUCUUUCGGCCGGGAAGGAAUCGCAUGGGUUAAUACCCUGUGUGGAUGACGGUACCGGAAUAAGAAGCACCGGCUAACUACGUG